CCAUUAUAAAGAUGAUACACAUACUUUGUUACCUGAGGGAAAAAAUAACUAGAACAGCAUCUUCUUUGGCGUGCUUGGGGAACCACGUUAAAAUUGAUUCUACGUGCCCGUGACCUCUUCUCAGGGAAUUCUGAGCUCCCCCGAGUCACACCCCCAUCUAGAUGAGGAGAGGAGGACGUGUCCCCUGGUUCAGUCUCGGGUGCCCAGUACCCAGCAGACGUCAGGGUGGAGGCAAACCGGCCUUUCGGUUAGUCCUUGUAGACGUGUUAAAAAAAAAAAUCCAGAACUGGCAUUUUUACUACUUUUAGUUAGCUCUUUGGCCUCUUUUUAUUUGGGGAUGGGUGGUGGGCAGUUUAUUAAAAG
This 363-nucleotide long non-coding RNA is filed under the name Homo sapiens (human). RNAcentral's name for it is "HSALNT0120171". Lineage: Eukaryota; Metazoa; Chordata; Mammalia; Primates; Hominidae. The record is from RNAcentral.